Molecule: long non-coding RNA, 529 nt
Filed under: Nothobranchius furzeri (turquoise killifish)
Lineage: Eukaryota; Metazoa; Chordata; Actinopteri; Cyprinodontiformes; Nothobranchiidae
Description: lncRNA (ENSNFUG00015001016.1)
Source: RNAcentral
UCAUCAGUCCAAAUAUGAAGCAUCAACAUCUACACCAUUGAAGCGCCAACUGUGUAUUUCUGCAACACCAAUGCCAGCUCUGUCUAGCAUUCAUGGAGAAUCAUCUGAAAGGGAUGAUAAUUUGGAGGAGGUGAUGGAACAAGGUGAAACUAAAAAAGAAGGAUCUUCACAAAUGUUAUCUUGUGAGGGAAUUGAAGCAAACAUUGACGAGGAAGAGUUCAACAAUAUUCAAAACUCUGUGAUAGAGUCAUCAGAUGACACAUGGUCACCAAACAGAGAACCAGAAGUUGAUUCGUCUUCAGAGGAGGACGAAACCAUCGAGAUGGACAGCGGUACUGAUGACAGCGGUGAUGAGGACUACACACCUUAUACACACAUAAGUGGGAGCAUACACACCAUGAAGGUUGAUUGGGUGUUGGAGGUGUUGUGGCAGGUGGACCAGAGAGGGCAAGUACAUCAAAGAGAACACCAGUGUCUGUCCAGCACCAUGUCUAUUCGCUCGGAACAAAGAUUCCGAACUCGAGAAUAG